Molecule: ribosomal RNA, 468 nt
Filed under: uncultured bacterium
Lineage: Bacteria
Description: partial 16S ribosomal RNA
Rfam family: Bacterial small subunit ribosomal RNA
Source: RNAcentral
GACGAACGCUGGCGGCGUGCUUAACACAUGCAAGUCGAACGGAAAGGCCCUGCUUUUGUGGGGUGCUCGAGUGGCGAACGGGUGAGUAACACGUGAGUAACCUGCCCUUGACUUUGGGAUAACUUCAGGAAACUGGGGCUAAUACCGGAUAGGAGCUCCUGCUGCAUGGUGGGGGUUGGAAAGUUUCGGCGGUUGGGGAUGGACUUGCGGCUUAUCAGCUUGUUGGUGGGGUAGUGGCUUACCAAGGCUUUGACGGGUAGCCGGCCUGAGAGGGUGACCGGCCACAUUGGGACUGCGAUACGGCCCAGACUCCUACGGGAGGCAGCAGUGGGGAAUAUUGCACAAUGGGCGGAAGCCUGAUGCAGCAGCGCCGCGUGCGGGAUGACGGCCUUCGGGUUGUAAACCGCUUUCGCAUGUGACGAAGCGUGAGUGACGGUAAUGGGUAAAGAAGCACCGGCUAACUACGUG